UUCGGGUGCUGACGAGCGGCGAACGGGUGAGUAACGCGUAGGAAUCUGCCUGAUAGAGGGGGAUAGCCCGGGGAAACUCGGAUUAAUACCGCAUACGCCCUACGGGGGAAAGCAGGGGAUCUUCGGACCUUGCGCUAUCAGAUGAGCCUGCGUCGGAUUAGCUAGUUGGUAGGGUAAAGGCCUACCAAGGCGACGAUCCGUAACUGGUCUGAGAGGAUGAUCAGUCACACUGGAACUGAGACACGGUCCAGACUCCUACGGGAGGCAGCAGUGGGGAAUAUUGGACAAUGGGGGAAACCCUGAUCCAGCCAUGCCGCGUGUGUGAAGAAGGCCUUCGGGUUGUAAAGCACUUUAAGCAGGGAGGAAAGAGCAAUGGCUAAUAUCCAUUGUUUUUGACGCUACCUGCAGAAUAAGCACCGGCUAACUUCGUGCCAGCAGCCGCGGUAAUACGAAGGGUGCAAGCGUUAAUCGGAAUUACUGGGCGUAAAGCGCGCGUAGGCGGUUUGAUAAGUUGGAUGUGAAAGCCCCGGGCUCAACCUGGGAAUUGCAUCCAAGACUGUCAGGCUAGAGUACGGGAGAGGGGGGUAGAAUUCCACGUGUAGCGGUGAAAUGCGUAGAGAUGUGGAGGAAUACCGGUGGCGAAGGCGGCCCCCUGGAUCGAUACUGACGCUGAGGUGCGAAAGCGUGGGGAGCAAACAGG
This 700-nucleotide ribosomal RNA is filed under the name uncultured Gammaproteobacteria bacterium. Its description in RNAcentral is "bacterial SSU rRNA". It matches the Rfam family "Bacterial small subunit ribosomal RNA", at positions 79 to 776 of the family's 1533-position model. Lineage: Bacteria; Pseudomonadati; Pseudomonadota; Gammaproteobacteria. The record is from RNAcentral.